GGCUUUGCCUGGCGACGUAUCAUUCAAGUUUCCGCCCCAUCAACUUUUGAUGGUAGAGUAUUGGUCUACCAUGGUUAUAACGGGUAACGGGCGUUUAGGGACGGACGCCGAAGAGGCGGCCUGAGAGACGGCCGGCACAUCCAAGGAAGGCAGCAGGCGCGCAAAUUACCCAAUGGACAAAGUCCGAGGUAGUGACAAUAAAUAACAAUGCAGGGUCCUUUGGAUCUUGCUAUUGGAAUGAGUACAAUUUAAAACUCUUAACGAGGAACAAUUGGAGGGCAAGUCUGGUGCCAGCAGCCGCGGUAAUUCCAGCUCCAAUAGCGUAUAUGAACAUUGUUGCCGCUAAAAAGCUCGUAGUUGAAUUUCGGGAUGGAGCGACUGGUCUGCCCUUGUGGUGUGCACCGGUUUAUCUGUCCUUUUGCUUGGGGAAACGUAUCGCCCUUCAUUGGGUGUGCAUGUACCCAGGCCUUUUACUUUGGGAAAAUUAGAGUGUUCAAAGCAGGCUUACGCCUUGAAUAUGUUAGCAUGGAAUAAUGAAAUAGGACUUUGGUUUUAUUUUGUUGGUUUCUGAAACUAAAGUAAUGAUUAAUAGGGGCAGUUGGGGGCAUUAAUAUUUAAUUGUCAGAGGUGAAAUUCUUGGAUUUAUGAAAGAUUAACUUCUGCGAAAGCAUUUGCCAAGGAUGUUUUCAUUAAUCAAGAACGAAAGUCAGGGGAGCGAAGAUGAUUAGAUACCGUCGUAGUCCUGUACCGUCAACGAUGCCGACUAGGGAUCAGAGGAUGAUAUUUUAUGUCUCCUUUGGCACCUUCCGAGAAGUCAAGGUUAUUUGGUUCGGGGGGGAGUAUGGUCGCAAGGCUGAAACUUAAAGAGAUUGACGGAAGGGCACCACCAGGAGUGAAGCCUGCGGCUUAAUUUGACCCAACACGGGAAAACUUACCAGGUCCAGACAUAGUAAGGAUUGACAGAUUGAGAGCUCUUUCUUGAUUCUAUGGGUGGUGGUGCAUGGCCGUUCUUAGUUGGUGGAGUGAUUUGUCUGCUUAAUUGCGAUAACGAACGAGACCAUAGCCUACUAAAUAGUCACGCGGAUCCUAGAUCCGUGGCCGACUUCUUAGAGGGACUAUAUGAGUCAAUCAUAUGGAAGCGGAUGGCAAUAACAGGUCUGUGAUGCCCUUAGAUGUUCUGGGCUGCACGCGCGCUACACUGACAUGGUCAACGAGUUUUGUCCUUGACCGAGAGGUCCGGGUAAUCUUUUAAAACCAUGUCGUGCUGGGGAUUGACAAUUGCAAUUAUUUGUCAUCAACGAGGAAUUCCUAGUAAGCGCGAUUCAUCAGAUCGCGUUGAUUACGUCCCUGCCCUUUGUACACACCGCCCGUCGCUCCUACCGAUCGGAUGAUCCGGUGAAAUCUUCGGACUGUUGCUUUGCAGCUGGUCUCCAGCAGCUUUAGCAGCGGGAAGUUGAUUGAACCUUAUCAUCUAGAGGAAGGAAAAGUCGUAACAAGGUU
This 1500-nucleotide ribosomal RNA is filed under the name metagenome. Its description in RNAcentral is "SSU rRNA". It matches the Rfam family "Eukaryotic small subunit ribosomal RNA", at positions 276 to 1801 of the family's 1831-position model. The record is from RNAcentral.